GAUCAUGGCUCAGAACGAACGCUGGCGGCGCGUUUAAGCAUGCAAGUCGAGCGGCAAGGGCCUUCGGGCCCCUAGAGCGGCGGACGGGUGAGUAACACGUGGACAAUCUGCCCCCCGGCCCGGGAUAGCCCAGGGAAACCUGGAUUAAUACCGGAUGAGACGGGACCCGCGAUGGCGGGAUCCGGGAAAGGCGCUGCGGCGCCGCCGGGGGAUGAGUCUGCGUCCCAUUAGCUAGACGGCGGGGUAACGGCCCACCGUGGCGACGAUGGGUAGCCGGCCUGAGAGGGUGGACGGCCACAUUGGAACUGAGACACGGUCCAGACUCCUACGGGAGGUAGCAGCUAAGAAUCUUCCGCAAUGGGCGAAAGCCUGACGGAGCCGACGCCGCGUGAACGAAGAAGGCCGUGAGGUUGUAAAGUUCUUUUCGGGAGGGGGAACAACCGUGGCAGGGAAUGGCCGCGGGAUGACGUGAAUCCCGGAAUAAGCCCCGGCUAACUACGUGCCAGCCGCGGC
RNAcentral lists this ribosomal RNA (513 nucleotides) under uncultured bacterium. RNAcentral describes it as "bacterial SSU rRNA". It matches the Rfam family "Bacterial small subunit ribosomal RNA", at positions 15 to 518 of the family's 1533-position model. The record is from RNAcentral.